AGUCUGAUGGAGCAACGCCGCGUGAGUGAAGAAGGCUUUCGGGUCGUAAAACUCUGUUGUUGGAGAAGAAUGGUCGGCAGAGUAACUGUUGUCGGCGUGACGGUAUCCAACCAGAAAGCCACGGCUAACUACGUGCCAGCAGCCGCGGUAAUACGUAGGUGGCAAGCGUUAUCCGGAUUUAUUGGGCGUAAAGCGAGCGCAGGCGGUUUUUUAAGUCUGAUGUGAAAGCCCUCGGCUUAACCGAGGAAGCGCAUCGGAAACUGGGAAACUUGAGUGCAGAAGAGGACAGUGGAACUCCAUGUGUAGCGGUGAAAUGCGUAGAUAUAUGGAAGAACACCAGUGGCGAAGGCGGCUGUCUGGUCUGUAACUGACGCUGAGGCUCGAAAGCAUGGGUAGCGAACAGGAUUAGAUACCCUGGUAGUCCAUGCCGUAAACGAUGAAUGCUAGGUGUUGGAGGGUUUCCGCCCUUCAGUGCCGCAGCUAACGCAUUAAGCAUUCCGCCUGGGGAGUACGACCGCAAGGUUGAAACUCAAAGGAAUUGACGGGGGCCCGCACAAGCGGUGGAGCAUGUGGUUUAAUUCGAAGCAACGCGAAGAACCUUACCAGGUCUUGACAUCUUUUGAUCACCUGAGAGAUCAGGUUUCCCCUUCGGGG
Molecule: ribosomal RNA, 654 nt
Filed under: Lacticaseibacillus paracasei
Lineage: Bacteria; Bacillati; Bacillota; Bacilli; Lactobacillales; Lactobacillaceae
Description: bacterial SSU rRNA
Rfam family: Bacterial small subunit ribosomal RNA
Source: RNAcentral